UUUUGUUAACGGAAAUAAAUAAAAACUAUAAUUAAAAGAAAAAAACAUUAACUGAAACUUUGUUGUGCGCAUACAAAACUAACUAAAAUGUUUAAAAAUUAUGGAUAAAAUUCCUUUUGUUCUUGUCUUUGUCGAUGUCUGAUAAGAAAUCAAUUUAUUUUGCUCGAGCAAUUUUUAGCUGGUAACACCAUACAACGCUU
This is a long non-coding RNA of Sphaeramia orbicularis (orbiculate cardinalfish), 200 nucleotides long. RefSeq lists it as uncharacterized. The transcript is spliced from 3 exons. NCBI's taxonomy places the organism in Eukaryota, Metazoa, Chordata, Actinopteri, Kurtiformes, Apogonidae. The record is from RefSeq and is a predicted model, not a curated record.